UGGCGAACGGGCUGAGUAAUACAUCGGAACGUGUCCUGCUAGUGGGGGAUAGCCCGGCGAAAGCCGGAUUAAUACCGCAUACGCUCUACGGAGGAAAGGGGGGGAUCUCAGGACCUCCCGCUACAGGGGCGGCCGAUGGCAGAUUAUCUAGUUGGUGGGGUAAAGGCCUACCAAGGCGACGAUCUGUAGCUGGUCUGAGAGGACGACCAGCCACACUGGGACUGAGACACGGCCCAGACUCCUACCGGAGGCAGCAGUGGGGAAUUUUGGACAAUGGGCGAAAGCCUGAUCCAGCAAUGCCGCGUGUGUGAAGAAGGCCUUCGGGUUGUAAAGCACUUUUGUCCGGAAAGAAAACCUCCGCCCUAAUAUGGUGGGGGGAUGACGGUACCGGAAGAAUAAGCACCGGCUAACUACAUGCCAGCAGCCGCGGUAAUACGUAGGGUGCAAGCGUUAAUCGGAAUUACUGGGCGUAAAGCGUGCGCAGGCGGUCCGCUAAGACAGAUGUGAAAUCCCCGGGCUUAACCUGG
This 527-nucleotide ribosomal RNA is filed under the name Burkholderia sp. M.C-5. RNAcentral describes it as "bacterial SSU rRNA". It matches the Rfam family "Bacterial small subunit ribosomal RNA", at positions 96 to 617 of the family's 1533-position model. Lineage: Bacteria; Pseudomonadati; Pseudomonadota; Betaproteobacteria; Burkholderiales; Burkholderiaceae. The record is from RNAcentral.